UGCGUAGGCGGCUCUUUAAGUCAGUGGUGAAAUCUUGCCGCUUAACGGUAAAAUUGCCAUUGAUACUGAAGAGCUUGAGUACAGUUGAGGUAAGCGGAGUGUGUAGUGUAGCGGUGAAAUGCUUAGAUAUUACACAGAACACCAAUUGCGAAGGCAGCUUACUAAACUGUUACUAACGCUGAUGCACGAAAGCGUGGGGAGCGAACAGGAUUAGAUACCCUGGUAGUCCACGCCGUAAACGAUGCUCACUCGCUGUUUGCGAUACACAGCAAGCGGCCAAGCGAAAGCAUUAAGUGAGCCACCUGGGGAUACGAUCGCAAGGUUGAA
Molecule: ribosomal RNA, 327 nt
Filed under: uncultured bacterium
Lineage: Bacteria
Description: bacterial SSU rRNA
Rfam family: Bacterial small subunit ribosomal RNA
Source: RNAcentral